AUGUCUCAGUUUAAGCAGCUCCAUAGCAACACUGUGCAUGGCUCAUUAAAACAGCCACAACCUGGGUCGUGGUCCUGCUACAUGGAUAUCUUCGGCAAUUCUGCAGCUAAUACAUGCACCAGCAUUCACCUGUGGUGAGUUGUGGUUGUUGCAUUCAGAAUUAAUGCAAGCUGUGCUUGAUGACCAGAUGAAUCAUUACAACUGCAUGGAUUGUAGUUUGUACACUGUUGAUGCUCUAUCAAGGUUUCUGACCUAUCAGCUUCCGAUGGCAGGGUAAAGGCCUACCGUGGCAGUGACAGGUGACGGAGGAUUAGGGUUUGACUCCGGAGAGGGAGCCUGAGAAAUGGCUCCCACAUCUAAGGAAGGCAGCAGGCGCGUGAAUUGCCCAAUCCUGAGAGAGGGAGGUAGUGACAAAAAAUAGCGAUACAAGGCAUCCAUGUUUUGUAAUUGGAAUGAGGGAUCAGUAAAUGUCGUUUUGAGUACCAAUUGGAGGGCAAGUCUGGUGCCAGCAGCCGCGGUAAUUCCAGCUUCAAUAGCGUAUGUUAGAGUUGUUGCAGUUAAAAGGCUCGUAGUUGGAUUUCUGCUGGAGAUUGCUGGUCCGCCCU
RNAcentral lists this ribosomal RNA (605 nucleotides) under Gambierdiscus australes. RNAcentral's name for it is "SSU rRNA". It matches the Rfam family "Eukaryotic small subunit ribosomal RNA", at positions 55 to 666 of the family's 1831-position model. The record is from RNAcentral. Lineage: Eukaryota; Dinophyceae; Gonyaulacales; Pyrocystaceae.